This is a long non-coding RNA of Python bivittatus (Burmese python), 808 nucleotides long. RefSeq lists it as uncharacterized. The record is from RefSeq and is a predicted model, not a curated record. Lineage: Eukaryota; Metazoa; Chordata; Lepidosauria; Squamata; Pythonidae.
AGAGACUGUGGCUCCAUUUCCCCAUUAGAGAGAACUCUUGUCUCAUCUCUUCUCCCAACUCUGGAAUGGAAUGGAAUAAAAAUGCUAGCUUGAGCGCUUUGCAACUCCCUUUCAGUAACCGGGACAAAAACAUGCAGGAGUGAAACUCAGUGUUUCUCAACCUAGGCAAGUUGAGUGUUUCUCAACCUCGGCAAAAUGUGUGGACUUCAACUCCCAGAAUUCUCCAGCCAGCUUGCUUUCAACCAGAAUGGAAAAUCCAUGGCCCUCCAGAUACGGAUAAACAACCAGGCAGCAUAGCUGAAUGGGAGGAGAAGACAUCACUUCCAAGGAACAGUAGCCAGCUGCAACUUCUGGGAAUGGAUGUCAGAGGCCAAGAAGGAAACUAGAAAGUAGGAAUCCUGGACGCACAAUUUGUGCUCCUCCAGAUGUUGCUAAACAACUUCUUUCAGCAUCCCACAUUAUUGGCCAUGCUACCUGGGAUUGCUGGGAAUUGUGGUUUAGCAACAUCUGGAGGACCCAUCUCCUACCUGAUGCCAUGGCAGAGCAAAGAAGGAUGGUAGUGGUGAAUUGCCUGAGAUGUAAGUAUGUCUCCUUGUGGAAUAGAAACACAAUUGAGGUUUGCUUUCCAAGGCACCACCAAAUAUCAGGUGGUGGGUGACAGUCUGUGCCUUUUGUCUGAAAAUGUAAGAUCUGCAUGUAAAAACCCAUUCAUGCAGAGAGAUUAUAAGCCACUUUGCUAUAAUAUGUUUGUAAGCCACCUAUAAUUAUGCAUUCUGCUUUGAGCUUUUCUUAUUGUUGAUAAGCAGUU